RNAcentral lists this ribosomal RNA (207 nucleotides) under uncultured bacterium. RNAcentral describes it as "partial 16S ribosomal RNA". It matches the Rfam family "Bacterial small subunit ribosomal RNA", at positions 568 to 774 of the family's 1533-position model. The record is from RNAcentral.
AGCGCAGGCGGGAAGACAAGUUGGAAGUGAAAACCAUGGGCUCAACCCAUGAAUUGCUUUCAAAACUGUUUUUCUUGAGUAGUGCAGAGGUAGAUGGAAUUCCCGGUGUAGCGGUGGAAUGCGUAGAUAUCGGGAGGAACACCAGUGGCGAAGGCGGUCUACUGGGCACCAACUGACGCGGAGGCUCGAAAGCAUGGGUAGCAAACA